Molecule: long non-coding RNA, 4187 nt
Filed under: Homo sapiens (human)
Lineage: Eukaryota; Metazoa; Chordata; Mammalia; Primates; Hominidae
Description: HSALNT0138595
Source: RNAcentral
CAAAAAUGUUAAAACAUAGAAAAUCUAACUUUGAUAUCUACUGAAAAGAACAUUCCUGCUGAUUUUCUCAUGCUGUACUUUAUAUUAAAAAAAUAAUUCUUAGCAAGCUCAAACUUGAAAAAGCUUAGAAGUUCUAAGGACCAAAAUCAUACUUGCCUCAGGAAAAAUCAAUUAUUUCAUCCAGUAGCAUUCAGAUGUCCAUUUUACCUCCACAAAGCCCAAGGCAACUGUUUCUGUUCAUCUUGUUCUAGACUUUGACCCUGAUGUCUCAGUUCCUAACACUGUCUGCUUCAAUGUGUCAAGCUUUAUUAUGAAGACCUAAAUUAGAACCAGAUUUUCAGGGGCAAGUGUUUCUAAGUACCAUAGCAUCUUCCAUGAUGUAAUUUGCUUAAAGAGAUGGAAAACUUAAAGAAGGAAGAAAGCAGGGCAAAAUGUCAUCAGUAUGAAUGACAAAGAACUGGAAGCAAUAUCUGACUCUAGAAAUUCACCAGCAAGUCUUCCAUUAAGUUUUAUUUUACUUCCUUGUGUUUUCAAAGAUUAUGUUGCUUAUGUUUACAUUUACUAAAGUUGAGUACCUGUAUAACAAGUCUUUGGUCACUUGUGGACAGGUUAAAUGUCACUCUUCACUGAGAACACUGCAUUGUUCAAUCCUUUGAUUUUAGAACAAUAAAUCAUUUAUAUGUGUUAAUUAAGUUGGAAUGGGGCAAUAGUCAGGCUUAUGAUGUUAAUGCUUACUAUCACUGGAACUGCUGUGAAUUAAGAAGUCACAGAAUUUAUUGAUGGUAAGUUUCAAGUAAAAUCUUAUAAUGAUUGCAUGGGAUAUACUGCUUGAGAGUAUCUGAAGUUUUUAUGGAGUUUUUAGGUUUCUAUAUACUAUUUCACUUGAACUCAAGAGUGAGCGAGCUGGCAUUACUUUUUCUAUUUUAAAUAACAGUUUGCGUUUAAGGAUUUUUUUAACAUGUUUCAGGCAAAAAUAUUAAUUAAUUGAUUAAUAGUUAUUUAGUCCUUGUCACAAAUCCUAUUGUUCCCAUUUGAAAACGAAGAAAGUGAGGAUCCAGAAAAAAAAAAUGGGUUUCUUAAGGUUGGGCAGCAAGUGGGCUACCUAGGAUUUUAAGCCAAACUGGAGUGAGCCAAUGCCUGAUCUUUUUUAUUCUCAUGUAUCACCAAUAUAAGGCAAAAAGUUGCAAUUGGCAGAACAAUACACUUAAAAGGUGCUAUGAAAUAGAAGGUAUCCCUUCCAUAGUCCAUUGUAAAGAGCUCAGUGUGCCAUGCAGUAAACAGCAAAGCCGGUUGCUACACACAUCCUCUCUGCCUUCCUGUUCCUAAAAAGAUCAUGGGCAGUCCUCAUGGCAAGGGAGUCUUUCUCAUCAUAGAAAAUACAGAUCAUUGGAAGUCCAUAUUGCAAGAUACAAACAUCAUAGGUGAUUAAAAUAACAAGGGAGAUGUUGGCAGAUUCGGAUACCGAACUUUAGUGUGCUGGGGUCACAAAUACCCAAGAGUUGCAAGCUUGAAAGCAGUGAGUCAACUCUGUUCCCAGGGGAGCAUCUGAAAAUACGGUGACCCUAUCUACAUUUAAGAGACUUGUUUAGAUAAUUUUUAUUACAAAAGACUUUUUGUGAAAGGUAUUGGCAAAAUUAAUACAGGUAUCUAUCUUGUAAUACUGAUCAACUUUAAAAAUGAUAUUUUAACAUCAUCCAUAUGCAUAAUUGUCAGAAAUCUAUAAGAAAAUACUAAUAACAUUCUGAGGAUUAAAAGAUGGGUCUCAGUUUCAAAAUGGAUAGCACAUAGAUUUUCUUUUUCCUUUUCUUCAGUGCUCCCUACUCCCUACAAUCCAAGAUUCAUAAAUUUAGAGCAAUCUCAACAUACAUGUCUUGAUUCAUGGACUGAGCCCAUUAUUUUCAUCAGAUCAAAGAUGGCCAUGAAUUCCCUGAGAUGGAGAAGAACUAUUCUACUGAAGAGAUCAUAUGGAAAGACUUGGAGAUGACAUGGAAAGAGAGAGGAUCCCACAUAAGCCCAGCCUUCCAGCCACUCUCAUGAAGGUGUCAGGCUCAUGAGCAAAGAUCAGCCAACUGUCAGCUGAAUUCAACCAGCCGACUUCAGUGGAAAGUCAACUGAAAAACUGCCAAGCUAUGCCCUGCCUGAAUUCCCAACCCAUAAAAUUGUGAGUCAUAGUAAAAUGGCUAUUGCUGAAGCCACUACAUUUUGGCUUCGGCAACAGUCAUUUUACUAUGCAAAAGAUAGUGCCUAUCUUUAAUGCAAAAAAUGACUAGAGUCUGCCUAUAUAAUAAGGUAGCAUGAUUCAUUUAAUCUCUCACAUGGAAAUUAUAUAAAGCUAAAUGAACAAAUAUUGAUAAGAAUGAUAGAAACUAAAAUAAUACAAAAUGCACAGUCCUCCUUUGACUAAAAUUUAGCAGGGCAGCAAAAUUCUAGCAAUGAUUCAGUAGCAUCUGCAGCAAAAUUCUACUUACUGAUUUUAUCAUGCAACCCUGAAAAAAAGGAAUGAAGACAAACUUGAGGCCACCUCCCCAAAUUUAGGCUGGUACAAUCACAACAGACCACUCAGUGACUGAUUCUGAUGUUCUGAGAAUUAAAUGCUCAGGUUUGUUCUCUCAAUAGAUUUUAAAAAUGGCUGGAGCUGCCUAAUAUCAGUUAUUAGUAUCAAGAAUCAAACUUCUAAGCUAAAUAGAAUACUUUUCAUUUCAGGAAUGAUAACAAAGCUUUUCCAGGAUUUCUUCCCCCUCACUGCCCUCCCCCAUUGCAACCCAGGCACACAGUGAACAGAAAUAGAACGUGUCUAGAGAAGCAUAAGCCUUCAACUACUUGAUUGCUGACCAAACUUGAGUUGCAAUUCUGAAGAUCAAAGCAAGUUAAAAUGCAUGUGUAAAUUUGUGCAGGCCUGUGGAGCUUCAGUUCAUGACUUCAUGUCCUCAUUAGUUGGCUGCCAACAUCACUUAGGCUUGUUGAAAUACUGCUUGGGUGAUAUUGUCAAUGGAUUGUUUUUGUGAUAGAGUGUUCUGUACUGAACUGGCAUUUCAAGCCACUCAGGUCAAGAAACCACAUUAGUACCUAUUUCAAGAGUUUAGACUUACCUUGACAGGAUAAUAGGUGUAUUUCCAGUAACAUAGUGACAACUCAUCUUGCCUGAAUAUUUGCCCCUUAAACACUUCACAGUGGAAGUUCAGUCAUCAAUCAAGUUGUAAUGAGUCCCACCAUCCAGCAGUUAAUGCAAGAUUUAAACUUCACAUAAAGGGGGUUAAAGAUUCAUUUUUCAUGUGUAUAUUACCACCAAAAAGAAACAAAUAACAUUUGUAACCAGAACUUCUAAUAUUACUGCUGGAUGAAAGGCCUGUGCCUCCAAUUUUGCCUCCUUUUCUAAACUCAGAUGGUUCAUGAUUCUCCCCUUUCUCUAAAUGACAAGGCAAAAUGCUAAUAGAUGAACAUCUAAUGACAGUAUUUCCCAUACUCUCCACUGGAAUGUACAUUAACAACUUAAUUACUAAAGUUUUGUCUUUGAAAUCAUUUCGUGAAAAAAAUGCUUAUUAUUAAUAAUCCCUUGCUAGCAAAUAUAAGGCCGAUGUUAUAAACACAAAUGGUGAAAGUCAAGUAUGUCAAUUCCUACUGAGAGUUAAAACUGGGGUUAAUUAAGAGAAUAUUAAAUGAAAUGCUCUUAAUUUGCCAACUAAAACAUAUAAAAAAUAAUGAACAAGUUUGCUGAUACCCUUUUUUUUACAGGUAGCAAUACAGUCUUAAGACCAAAAUACAGAAAUGGUUGUGAGUAGAACUUACCAUUUUAAUUUCUUUUUUUUUUUUUGACUUUUAUUUCAAGUUCAGAGGCACAUGUGCAGGUUUGUUAUACAAGCAAACUCGUGUCAUGGGGGUUUAUUGUACUGACUAUUUCAUUAUCCAGGUAUUAAGCCUAGUACCUAUUAGUUAUUUUUUCUGAUCCUCUCCCUCCUCCCACCCUCCACCCUACUGGUAGGCCCUAGUAUUUGUUGUUCCCCUCUAUGCAUCCAUGUGUUCUCAUAAUUUAGCUUCCACUUACAAGUGAGAACGUGUGAUAUUUGAUUUUCUGUUCAUCUGUUAGUUUGCUAAGGAUAAUAGUCUCCAGCUCCAUCCAUGUUCCCGCAAAGGACAUGAUCUCAUCCUUUUUUAUGGCUGUAUGGUAUUCCAUGGUGUAUACAUACCAC